This 498-nucleotide ribosomal RNA is filed under the name uncultured bacterium. RNAcentral's name for it is "partial 16S ribosomal RNA". It matches the Rfam family "Bacterial small subunit ribosomal RNA", at positions 30 to 523 of the family's 1533-position model. The record is from RNAcentral.
AUUGAGCGCUGGCGGCAUGCCUUACACAUGCAAGUCGAACGGUAACAGGUCUUCGGAUGCUGACGAGUGGCGAACGGGUGAGUAAUACAUCGGAACGUGCCUAGUAGUGGGGGAUAACUACUCGAAAGAGUGGCUAAUACCGCAUGAGAUCUACGGAUGAAAGCAGGGGGUCGCAAGACCUUGUGCUACUAGAGCGGCCGAUGGCAGAUUAGGUAGUUGGUGGGAUAAAAGCUUACCAAGCCGACGAUCUGUAGCUGGUCUGAGAGGACGAUCAGCCACACUGGGACUGAGAAACGGCCCAGACUCCUACGGGAGGCAGCAGUGGGGAAUUUUGGACAAUGGGCGCAAGCCUGAUCCAGCAAUGCCGCGUGCAGGAUGAAGGCCUUCGGGUUGUAAACUGCUUUUGUACGGAACGAAAAGCCCCGGGUUAAUACCCUGGGGUCAUGACGGUACCGUAAGAAUAAGCACCGGCUAACUACGUGCCAGCCGCCGCCGUAA